Molecule: long non-coding RNA, 863 nt
Organism: Candoia aspera
Lineage: Eukaryota; Metazoa; Chordata; Lepidosauria; Squamata; Candoiidae
Exons: 2
Source: RefSeq, a predicted model, not a curated record
UUUUAAAAAACCCUCCUAUGCCUUUUCGGCUUUCAAGGUUUAAUUGUUUUAAACUGCUGCUUUUCACUGCUGUUUUAUUGCCUGUUUUUAUGUUACUAGUCUGUUUUUAUGGUGGCUGAUCUUGUUCAUUGCUCCAGGAACUAAUUACUUGAAUGGCAGUAUUUAAAUGUGCCACAUAAAGGCAUCUCUUCUUAAGGCAGGAAAUGCCGUCUUGGAGAGGGAAGGUUAAGCUCAGCUCUACAAUUGUGUGUUGUCAUUGGAACUCUGCAAAAUUGGCUGAAGACUCAUUCACUGCUCUUUUCAUUGGAGUGACUGAACUGUCUGCCUGUACCUGCCAAAAUAGGAAAAUUCCAAAGAAGACUCAAGAGCUGUUCACAUUUCUGCUACUGGAGCCAAAUGUAAAUAAAGCCAAAGGAAAUUAUGAUGAUGUUUAUUAUAUUUGAUCAGAUUACAAUUCAAAAGGCAUGCUGAAAAUGAGGUCGUAUGAAUGAUUAAAGAGUGAAUAUUAAGCAUAAAUAUCAUAACAUAGUCUGCUUACAAACUGCCAAAAUUCUUAAUCACAUGGGGGAAGAUGAUUAAAUGCCAUGUUUAUUUGAUCUAUAUAUUUUCUGUGAUUGCUGUAUUUGUCUGGUUGUGUCUUGUCCUUGUUAUGUUACUGUUUAAUUCAGCUACAUUCUACACCUUGAUGUUCCUUUAUUAAGGCUGAUAAAUGCUGAGCUUAUGAAGAUGAUCCCCUUACAUAAAACUGGGCAACCAUGGCCUCUUCUUCUUCCUGCAACCUCUCUAACUUGCCAUUCCCCCCAUGGCUGGGCUGCUGAUCAGAAAAAAGGAAAAGAAAUAAUAAGUAAAACAGGUGUAUGAAA